Molecule: non-coding RNA, 138 nt
Filed under: Humidesulfovibrio mexicanus
Lineage: Bacteria; Pseudomonadati; Thermodesulfobacteriota; Desulfovibrionia; Desulfovibrionales; Desulfovibrionaceae
Source: RNAcentral
GGAACACGGUGCGAAUCCGUGGCGAUCCCGUCGCCGUAACCGGGGACCGGGGGGACGUAUGGCGCGCGCGCCGGGCCACUGGGGGAGCAAUCCCCUGGGAAGGCCGUCCCCGCCGGGCUGAUCCGGAAGUCGGAAGAC